RNAcentral lists this transfer RNA (63 nucleotides) under Daphnia magna. Its description in RNAcentral is "tRNA-Gly". The record is from RNAcentral. Lineage: Eukaryota; Metazoa; Arthropoda; Branchiopoda; Diplostraca; Daphniidae.
AUCUUUUUAAUAUAAAUAAGUAUACUUGACUUCCAAUCAAAAUGUCCAACUAUGGAAAAGAUA